This 3761-nucleotide long non-coding RNA is filed under the name Bemisia tabaci. RNAcentral describes it as "lncRNA ENSSSA1NGG011860". The record is from RNAcentral. Lineage: Eukaryota; Metazoa; Arthropoda; Insecta; Hemiptera; Aleyrodidae.
UGUGUUCUACUUCUUCCUCCCCUUUCCUUUUCUUCGUUUCUUCAUUCUCUUUAUUUUUUAUCAGGCAUUGAGGUUAAUUCAAAUUUUUGGUUACAGCAACAGCAACAACAACAACAACAACAACAGCAGCAGGUGCAACAACCAUUGUUUAACUCGGCCUUGCUCCAACGGCCCUCGUACCAGACAGCAGCGGCGUCCCAACUGCGGCCGUACGUGCAACAGCCUUUACAACAGCCGUUGCAACAGCCCCUGCAACAGCCUCUGCAACAAUUUUCUCAAUAUCAGCAGCCGUUGCAGAACCCCAACCUUUUAUAUCAGAACCCUGCACCUCUGACCAACGACCUGUUCCAGGCGCAGCAGCAAUCACUCUUCGGACCUCAGCAACCUUUGCAGCAGUACAACAACCCAUUCCUUUACCAGAGUCCUUUCUACAACCCAUACUUUUCCGCCAGAGCAUCGCGCGAUUUGGAUGUUAAAGGACAACUCGAGACGCUGACGGCUAAAUUGACCGGAAAAGUUAAGAAUGUUACUUGUGUUAUGCAAGAAUUAGGAUACUUAGAUUCAAAUUUGGAGCCGGAUUAUGUAAAAAAGGUAGAGAGGAUAAACCGACUGCCAAUAUCGGAAGAGCUGAAAAGGGACAUGGCUGAAGGCGUCGAAUACUGCCGGCAGUUUUCGCAAUGCGUGCCAGACUCGAGGAAAGACAAGCUAGCGAAAGAAAUGCUCCGACCCAUGUUCUUCUUCCGAUGUUAUAAGCAUAAAAAACUUGAGGCGUGUAUCAUGAAAGAUAUAAGAGAAAGGUAUUCCAACGGGAACGAAGAUUUCCUGGACGAGAACGUGCUGGGAGGCGGUGGCGACAUGCGCUCUAUGAAAAGCAGAAACCAGACUUUGGACGACGAACACAUGGAAGUAGCCAUUUAUGAGUUCCUUUACGGGGGUGACACUGCCCAGCUCGACUCACUUCUUUAGUCACUGGUCUAGCCGACCGCAUCAAAGUUUCCUUGAUAGGGAGGGUUUACUGUUAUUCUGAGGGGGAAAAAAAAUGAGUACGUGCAAAAAAAAGGCUUCCAAAAAAUAAAAACUAGAAAAUCGCGCAUGCACUACACACAGCACGGAUUACAGGCAGGUCUCAACCUUAACCUGUUUAAAUUUCAGCUUUUACACCCCAUAGACAUCAUUACGGUGAAACCUGUGGGCUGAUUUUUGAAAUUGAUAGACAAAGCGGUAGACAAUGAAGACAUAGGGAGUAUGGAGCUAUCCCAAUGGUUGAAGCUGGUGGUUCUUACAGACUAAAGGGGAAAAUGAUGAACUAACUAAAGGGUAUCUUGUCAGUUGCUGUUUGUUAGUGUAUUACCCACCUUCUUUAUCCAUUGUAACCACCUGCUUCCACCAAUUUGUAGGAUCCCUCCGAAUCCCUUUUGUCUUUUUUGUCUAUAGCUUUGUCUACCAAUUUCAAUAAUCGGCCCACUGAUCAUAACUGGGAGCCUUCUCACGGAGUAAAACCGCUGGAAGCGCAACUGUGAGUUUAAAAUGACUUCAAGUAAACCUGCUCUCAACAGGAUACUGACACUUAAAAGAAACAUUUCUCCAUCCCGUGAUAAUGAUGAAUAAUGAUCAUCAUCAUGAGUUCGAGUCAUAUUGUAUCUUCAUUAUCAGAAACUUCCAGCAUCAACACAGAAGCGACUUAACUGUUUGUCGCUUACUCCCUAUCAAGGAAAUAUUUUCCUAUUUGUCCCUGCCAUAAUCUUAAUUCUUUUAAGGGAGGGAUCUAGCACUCCUCCUCAUUAUUUGAAAUUUGUUUGAUAAAAUGGAACUGAUUUUCAUAAAAUUAAAUGCAGACUAGAUAUUGUGUUCUUGGCACACAUUUCCUUUUCUUGUCACAAAGACUGAAACAUGUUUGCAUACAUUUUUCAGAAGGUUUCACAAAUUUGUAGAUUUAUUUAGUUCAUUAAUACUUGGAACAAAUGGUUCUCCUGGGGAUAUAUCUCUGUAAAGAGCCUCCAAUUUUACACGAAUGCAAUUUUUGGUUCCAAGAUUCUUAAAGAAAUAAAAUAGAUCGCUUUGACAGUGGAAAGUCAAUAAGUCAAUAAGUAGGAUAUUCUUUCCCGGUCUAAAAGAAUUGUUGGGUAGCUUAAACUUAGAAAAUUUGUGUGAGGUCUCUUUGAAUUAAAAUCCUUUUCACAGUCUACAAUCAAGAUCCCUUAAAUUGUGAUUUUAUCAUUUGUUCUUUAUUUUGCCAUUUGGCUAAAAUACAAUCAUCCUAUUACAGGAUACUGAUUUUAUGUAAAUACUGCACAGCAAGUCAACCAUUUGUGUUGAUUGGAUUUCAGACAAAAUCUACGUCAGAUGGGCAAUCCUAAAUGCUUCUAAUGCUUAAAUACCAAAUUGGUAAUUAAUAUCAACAUAGGUUUCUGAGCAUGAAGUAUUCACUGGAUCUGCGAAUGUGUUCAAUAUCUCUUGUAAAAAUAAAAGAUAGUCAAUAAAAAUCCAUUUUGUGGGCUUCUUAUUUCAUAAUUUUUGUUCCUGUUUUCUCUAUUUACUGCCAUCAAACCUUCCUUUCUGCUUUGGUCAACAAUAUGGAUUUCGUUUAACAUUGUGAACUUGUCUUAUUACAGUGUCUUACUACUCUGUUUUACUACAUUUGGAAAAUGUAGCUUAAUGAAUUUUUUUUCUUUUUUCUGACUUAUUUUUUAGCCAUAUUCUAAAAUGCUUUGUCAUUUUUUAGAAAAAAUACCUACUUAAUUUCCUCCAAAAUACUCUUUCUUCAUUCAGUUAUCUGAUUAAAAACUUGAUAUUAAAGCAAUUUUUUGGAAUCUGAGACCGAGGACUACUCACAAAAUACCAAAAAAUUCAGCACCGGCUAAAUUUCAAUAUUAUUUGAUGCAAUGUUUCUUACAGCUCCUUGAGCAUGAUAAGGUCUUAAAAUCGAACCCCUCUUGAGCUAAUCUAGAGAAAAAUAGAGCUGGAAAGUGAAUUUAUUCGCGUCUUUAAAUGUAUUAUCGAAAAGAAAUAUUGCAACAUCUGAUGGGUGACCAAGGAGAGCUUAUGCUUCCUUGCUGGCUGAAAAGACAAGACAAAUGAAAAGAAUCAAAAUCCUCCAAAUGAUAACAGUAUACAGCACGGCAAUCACACAAAUAUAGGGACAGUCCCACAUCUCCAUCAGAAAACACGAAUAACAACGUUUAAAAAUACACUCUUCCUUCAACCCUGUUAUUCUAGAGGUUGCUACAUGAAAAGUUUGAUUUAAAAGCUCUGUGUCAUUUGGAGGUUGUAAGGAACAUCAUACCAUAUAUCAAAUACUGAAAAUUACUAAAAAAUUUAGCCAGAGCAAAAUUUAUUGGUACUUCUUGCAUAGUCCUUCGCAAGGGAAAAAUUUUCUCAUAAUCUAACUAACCUACAGAAAAGGGUGGAGAGACUAUGUUCCGUUUUGAUGCAUAAGUUUAACAGCAUUAAAACUUUUAAUUUUUUUUUAUUUUAUUACGAUCAACUUAUGUAUGGUUAAAGCGUUGGUAACAAGACUACAAUCAUUUUCAGGCAAUUAAGACCUUUUAUCAUUUGCUUAGUUUUGUACACAGAUAUUUACACAAGUUUAGGAUGUAGAUACUACUUUUUUGUUUUCCUUAAAAAAUAGAGUCAAAUUAAACUAGGUCCUUAACAAUUAAAGAAAAAGAAACAUACUAACAGAAAUAACACGGCACAAGCUAAUAGCUCUUUCACGAGCGGUUAAAAGAUUGAGUGCUGACAAUAAGAAAUCUCAACAAAAG